Molecule: transfer RNA, 78 nt
Filed under: Aquilaria khasiana
Lineage: Eukaryota; Viridiplantae; Streptophyta; Magnoliopsida; Malvales; Thymelaeaceae
Also listed under: 11 other names
Description: tRNA-Asp
Rfam family: tRNA
About the family: Transfer RNA (tRNA) molecules are approximately 80 nucleotides in length.
Source: RNAcentral
UGGGAUUGUAGUUCAACUGGUCAGAGCACCGCCCUGUCAAGGCGGAAGCUGCGGGUUCGAGCCCCGUCAGUCCCGACC